GAGAGGCAGGGCGGUGGAGUCCGCCCGGAAACGUCGCGGCACCUGACGCGGCCAAUGACUCCUACAGCAGU
RNAcentral lists this non-coding RNA (71 nucleotides) under Acidobacteriota bacterium. Its description in RNAcentral is "Acidobacteria bacterium Fluoride sequence". It matches the Rfam family "Fluoride riboswitch aptamer (crcB RNA motif)". The record is from RNAcentral. Lineage: Bacteria; Pseudomonadati; Acidobacteriota.